RNAcentral lists this long non-coding RNA (283 nucleotides) under Gossypium barbadense (sea-island cotton). Its description in RNAcentral is "long non-coding RNA (GBAR_LNC014518)". The record is from RNAcentral. Lineage: Eukaryota; Viridiplantae; Streptophyta; Magnoliopsida; Malvales; Malvaceae.
GGACGGGUGAUGUGUUCUACCCCCUUCACUAUCAUAUACCAUGUAUGCACUUCCUGGAGGAAAGGUGGGAUUGGAGCCAGGUCCUGUGUACCUAUCAGUCGGUUGUGCUCCAAAAGUGCCUUUGAUUUGUUGAGGAGGUUGUUGGGGAGCUGUUCUGCCAGGUACUCCGUACCCAUAAGUAAUGGUAUCAGCACGGCUAGACACGGGUUGAGGAAGUCCAGAAUAUGAGACCUGCAUGGCCAUGCUGUUUGGCAACGCCUCUGGUUGAGAUUGAGUUGUUGAU